Molecule: ribosomal RNA, 2007 nt
Filed under: Salmonella enterica subsp. enterica serovar Choleraesuis
Lineage: Bacteria; Pseudomonadati; Pseudomonadota; Gammaproteobacteria; Enterobacterales; Enterobacteriaceae
Description: partial 23S ribosomal RNA
Rfam family: Bacterial large subunit ribosomal RNA
Source: RNAcentral
CUGCGAAUACCGGAGAAUGUUAUCACGGGAGACACACGGCGGGUGCUAACGUCCGUCGUGAAGAGGGAAACAACCCAGACCGCCAGCUAAGGUCCCAAAGUCAUGGUUAAGUGGGAAACGAUGUGGGAAGGCCCAGACAGCCAGGAUGUUGGCUUAGAAGCAGCCAUCAUUUAAAGAAAGCGUAAUAGCUCACUGGUCGAGUCGGCCUGCGCGGAAGAUGUAACGGGGCUAAACCAUGCACCGAAGCUGCGGCAGCGACGCUGAUGCGUUGUUGGGUAGGGGAGCGUUCUGUAAGCCUGUGAAGGUGGCCUGUGAGGGUUGCUGGAGGUAUCAGAAGUGCGAAUGCUGACAUAAGUAACGAUAAAGCGGGUGAAAAGCCCGCUCGCCGGAAGACCAAGGGUUCCUGUCCAACGUUAAUCGGGGCAGGGUGAGUCGACCCCUAAGGCGAGGCCGAAAGGCGUAGUCGAUGGGAAACGGGUUAAUAUUCCCGUACUUGGUGUUACUGCGAAGGGGGGACGGAGAAGGCUAUGUUGGCCGGGCGACGGUUGUCCCGGUUUAAGCGUGUAGGUGUGUGUUCCAGGUAAAUCCGGUUCACUUUAACACUGAGGCGUGAUGACGAGGCACUACGGUGCUGAAGCAACAAAUGCCCUGCUUCCAGGAAAAGCCUCUAAGCAUCAGGUAACAUCAAAUCGUACCCCAAACCGACACAGGUGGUCAGGUAGAGAAUACCAAGGCGCUUGAGAGAACUCGGGUGAAGGAACUAGGCAAAAUGGUGCCGUAACUUCGGGAGAAGGCACGCUGACACGUAGGUGAAGUGAUUUACUCAUGGAGCUGAAGUCAGUCGAAGAUACCAGCUGGCUGCAACUGUUUAUUAAAAACACAGCACUGUGCAAACACGAAAGUGGACGUAUACGGUGUGACGCCUGCCCGGUGCCGGAAGGUUAAUUGAUGGGGUCAGCGCAAGCGAAGCUCCUGAUCGAAGCCCCGGUAAACGGCGGCCGUAACUAUAACGGUCCUAAGGUAGCGAAAUUCCUUGUCGGGUAAGUUCCGACCUGCACGAAUGGCGUAAUGAUGGCCAGGCUGUCUCCACCCGAGACUCAGUGAAAUUGAACUCGCUGUGAAGAUGCAGUGUACCCGCGGCAAGACGGAAAGACCCCGUGAACCUUUACUAUAGCUUGACACUGAACAUUGAGCCUUGAUGUGUAGGAUAGGUGGGAGGCUUUGAAGCGUGGACGCCAGUCUGCAUGGAGCCGGCCUUGAAAUACCACCCUUUAAUGUUUGAUGUUCUAACGUGGACCCGUGAUCCGGGUUGCGGACAGUGUCUGGUGGGUAGUUUGACUGGGGCGGUCUCCUCCUAAAGAGUAACGGAGGAGCACGAAGGUUGGCUAAUCCUGGUCGGACAUCAGGAGGUUAGUGCAAUGGCAUAAGCCAGCUUGACUGCGAGCGUGACGGCGCGAGCAGGUGCGAAAGCAGGUCAUAGUGAUCCGGUGGUUCUGAAUGGAAGGGCCAUCGCUCAACGGAUAAAAGGUACUCCGGGGAUAACAGGCUGAUACCGCCCAAGAGUUCAUAUCGACGGCGGUGUUUGGCACCUCGAUGUCGGCUCAUCACAUCCUGGGGCUGAAGUAGGUCCCAAGGGUAUGGCUGUUCGCCAUUUAAAGUGGUACGCGAGCUGGGUUUAGAACGUCGUGAGACAGUUCGGUCCCUAUCUGCCGUGGGCGCUGGAGAACUGAGGGGGGCUGCUCCUAGUACGAGAGGACCGGAGUGGACGCAUCACUGGUGUUCGGGUUGUCAUGCCAAUGGCACUGCCCGGUAGCUAAAUGCGGAAGAGAUAAGUGCUGAAAGCAUCUAAGCACGAAACUUGCCCCGAGAUGAGUUCUCCCUGAGACUUAGAGUCUCCUGAAGGAACGUUGAAGACGACGACGUUGAUAGGCCGGGUGUGUAAGCGCAGCGAUGCGUUGAGCUAACCGGUACUAAUGAACCGUGAGGCUUAACCUUACAACGCCGAAG